This 422-nucleotide ribosomal RNA is filed under the name uncultured Candidatus Cardinium sp. RNAcentral's name for it is "bacterial SSU rRNA". It matches the Rfam family "Bacterial small subunit ribosomal RNA", at positions 238 to 662 of the family's 1533-position model. Lineage: Bacteria; Pseudomonadati; Bacteroidota; Cytophagia; Cytophagales; Amoebophilaceae. The record is from RNAcentral.
CCAAUCCUCUGGCAAGUAUGGCUCACCAAGGCUACGAUGGGUAGGGGUUCUUAGUGGAAGGUCCCCCACACUGGCACUGAGAUACGGGCCAGACUCCUACGGGAGGCAGCAGUAGGGAAUAUUGGUCAAUGGGCGCAAGCCUGAACCAGCCAUGCCGCGUGCAGGAUGAAAACUCUCUGAGUUGUAAACUGCUUUUGUACAGGAGCAAAAAAGUCCCUGCGGGGAUUCUUGAGAGUACUGUAAGAAUAAGCACCGGCUAAUUCCGUGCCAGCAGCCGCGGUAAUACGGAAGGUGCAAGCGUUAUCCGGUUUUAUUGGGUUUAAAGGGUGCGUAGGCGGCUUAUUAAGUCAGUAGUGAAAUCCUAGUGCUUAACGCUAGAACUGCAAUUGAUACUAUUAGGCUUGAGUUAAGAAGAGGUAAAA